Molecule: ribosomal RNA, 412 nt
Filed under: uncultured bacterium
Lineage: Bacteria
Description: bacterial SSU rRNA
Rfam family: Bacterial small subunit ribosomal RNA
Source: RNAcentral
CGGCAAGGGUGCGUAACGCGUAAGUAACUUGCCCCAAGGUAAGGAAUUAACGUACGAGAAAUCGGCGCUAAUACCUCAUAAUGCAGCGGACCCGCAUGGGUAUGUUGUUAAAGGUUUACCGCCUUGGGAUAGGCUUGCGUCUGAUUAGCUAGUUGGUGUGGUAACGGCACACCAAGGCUACGAUCAGUAACUGGUCUGAGAGGAUGAUCAGUCACACUGGAACUGAGACACGGUCCAGACUCCUACGGGAGGCAGCAGUGAGGAAUAUUGGGCAAUGCACGAAAGUGUGACCCAGCAACGCCGCGUGGAGGAUGAAGGUAUUCUAUAUCGUAAACUCCUGUGAGAGCAGACGAAAGACAGAUUAUUAAUUUGGAUGACUGUAUGCUCAGAGGAAGCCCCGGCUAACUACGUG